GAUGAAGAACGUAGCGAAAUGCGAUAAGUAAUGUGAAUUGCAGAAUUCAGUGAAUCAUCGAAUCUUUGAACGCAUCUUGCGCUCCUUGGUAUUCCGAGGAGCAUGCUUGUUUGAGUAUCAGUAAACACCUCAAAGCUUUUGGAUUUUUUAAUCGAAAAGCUUUGGACUUGAGCAAUCCCAACACCAAUCUUUUUGAGAUCGGUGGCGGGUUGCUUGAAAUGCAGGUGCAGCUGGACAUUCUCCUGAGCUAAAAGCAUAUUCAUUUAGUCCCGUCAAACGGAUUAUUACUUUUGCUGCAGCUAACAUAAAGGGAGUUUGACCGUAUUGGCUGACUGAUGCAGGAUUUCACAAGGGUCGGCAACGAUUCUUGUUAAACUCGAUCUCAAAUCAAGUAAGACUACCCGCUGAACUUAAGCAUAUCAAUAAGCGGAGGA
This 434-nucleotide unclassified non-coding RNA is filed under the name soil metagenome. RNAcentral describes it as "partial contains 5.8S ribosomal RNA, internal transcribed spacer 2, and large subunit ribosomal RNA". The stretch from base 1 to 120 matches the Rfam family "5.8S ribosomal RNA", at positions 35 to 154 of the family's 154-position model. The record is from RNAcentral.